GCGAGUGAACCGGGAUGAGCUCAAAUUUGAAAUCUGGCGUCUUUCAGGCGUCCGAGUUGUAAUCUAUAGAGGCGUUUUCCGCGCCGGACCGCGUCCAAGUCUCUUGGAAUAGAGUAUCAAAGAGGGUGACAAUCCCGUACUUGACGCGACAACCGGUGCUCUGUGAUACGUUCUCAAUGAGUCGAGUUGUUUGGGAAUGCAGCUCUAAAUGGGUGGUAAAUUCCAUCUAAGGCUAAAUAUUGGCGAGAGACCGAUAGCGAACAAGUACCGUGAGGGAAAGAUGAAAAGCACUUUGGAAAGAGAGUUAAACAGCACGUGAAAUUGUUAAAAGGGAAACGAUUGAAGUCAGUCGUGUGGGAAGUAUUCAGCCGUCUCUGGCGGUGUAUUUGCUUCUCACGGGUCAACAUCAGUUUGAUCCGGUAGAAAAAGGCGGGAAGAAGGUGGCACCCUCGGGUGUGUUAUAGCUUCCUGUCAUAUGUGCCGGACCAGACUGAGGAACGCAGCUUGCAGCAAUGCCGGGGUUCGCCCACGUACAAGCUUAGGAUGUUGACAUAAUGGCUUUAAACGACCCGUCUU
RNAcentral lists this ribosomal RNA (576 nucleotides) under Vishniacozyma carnescens. RNAcentral's name for it is "partial large subunit ribosomal RNA". It matches the Rfam family "Eukaryotic large subunit ribosomal RNA", at positions 89 to 655 of the family's 3401-position model. Lineage: Eukaryota; Fungi; Basidiomycota; Tremellomycetes; Tremellales; Bulleribasidiaceae. The record is from RNAcentral.